Molecule: ribosomal RNA, 460 nt
Filed under: uncultured bacterium
Lineage: Bacteria
Description: partial 16S ribosomal RNA
Rfam family: Bacterial small subunit ribosomal RNA
Source: RNAcentral
CCUACGGGAGGCAGCAGUGAGGAAUAUUGGUCAAUGGACGAGAGUCUGAACCAGCCAAGUAGCGUGAAGGAUGACUGCCCUAUGGGUUGUAAACUUCUUUUAUAUGGGAAUAAAAUGUUCCACGUGUGGGAUUUUGUAUGUACCAUAUGACUAAGGAUGGGCUAACUCCGUGCCAGCAGCCGCGGUAAUACGGAGGAUCCGAGCGUUAUCCGGAUUUAUUGGGUUUAAAGGGAGCGUAGGUGGAUUGUUAAGUCAGUUGUGAAAGUUUGCGGCUCAACCGUAAAAUUGCAGUUGAAACUGGCAGUCGUGAGUACAGUAGAGGUGGGCGGAAUUCGUGGUGUAGCGGUGAAAUGCUUAGAUAUCACGAAGAACUCCGAUUGCGAAGGCAGCUCACUGGACUGCAACUGACACUGAGGCUCGAAAGUGUGGGUAUCAAACAGGAUUAGAUACCCGAGUAGUC